UGGGGAAUAUUGCACAAUGGGCGCAAGCCUGAUGCAGCCAUGCCGCGUGUGUGAAGAAGGCCUUCGGGUUGUAAAGCACUUUCAGCGGGGAGGAAGGCGUUAAGGUUAAUAACCUUGGCGAUUGACGUUACCCGCAGAAGAAGCACCGGCUAACUCCGUGCCAGCAGCUGCGGUAAUACGGAGGGUGCAAGCGUUAAUCGGAAUUACUCGGCGUAAAGCGCACGCAGGCGGUCUGUCAAGUCGGAUGUGAAAUCCCCGGGCUCAACCUGGGAACUGCAUUCAAAACUGGCAGGCUAGAGUCUUGUAGAGGAGGGUAGAAUUCCAGGUGUAGCGGUGAAAUGCGUAGAAAUCUGGAGGAAUACCGGUGGCGAAGGCGGCCCCCUAGACAAAGACUGACGCUCAGGUGCGAAAGCGUGGGGAGCAAACAGG
Molecule: ribosomal RNA, 429 nt
Filed under: Chloroflexota bacterium
Lineage: Bacteria; Bacillati; Chloroflexota
Description: Chloroflexi bacterium partial 16S ribosomal RNA
Rfam family: Bacterial small subunit ribosomal RNA
Source: RNAcentral